This is a long non-coding RNA of Drosophila novamexicana, 457 nucleotides long. RefSeq lists it as uncharacterized. The record is from RefSeq and is a predicted model, not a curated record. NCBI's taxonomy places the organism in Eukaryota, Metazoa, Arthropoda, Insecta, Diptera, Drosophilidae. The transcript is spliced from 3 exons.
GAGUUGAAACUCGAUGAUCUGUAGAGUUGGCUGAAAACGAGUGGAAAAUAUAUAUAUAAAGAAUUGAAUUUACAAAUUUUAAACUUGCAGACUUUGCUACUGUGAAUUGUUGCAUGCGGUUUGUGUCUGUACUAAACCAGUAUGUCUAGUGUCUGCGCUUAACUGGAGCUUUUCAAGCAAUACGCGUAGUGCAGACACAAGCCACAGCACAAUGAAAUCAAAACUGUAAAAUGCAAUGCGUACCAAACUGUAUUUAGCCAAGACACUGACAAAUGUAUCUCGCGCUCUGGCUGCCAAACUGUGACUGUAAUGCCGUGACUGUCAAACCAAUUCAAAUUGAAUCAAAAUGCAAACAAGCUCAUAUAGGACAAAUACACAUACAGCAAAGUAAAACUUACCUAGCUAAGGCAUUGGAACUUAUCUGCCUGCGGCCGGAACUGCAAACAAAUUGAGAAUA